CUGAUAAGAGAUUAUAAGUCCUGCGAUGGGGAGUGGCGGACGGGUGAGUAACGCGUGAGAACAUACCCCAGAGUGAGGGAUAAGCACCAGAAAUGGUGUCUAAUACCGCAUAACCUCUACGGAGAAAAGCUUCGGCGCUUUGGGAAUGGCUUGCGUUAGAUUAGCUAGUUGGUAAGGUAAAGGCUUACCAAGGCUACGAUCUAUAGCUGGUUUGAGAAGAUGAUC
This 225-nucleotide ribosomal RNA is filed under the name uncultured bacterium. RNAcentral describes it as "partial 16S ribosomal RNA". It matches the Rfam family "Bacterial small subunit ribosomal RNA", at positions 59 to 305 of the family's 1533-position model. The record is from RNAcentral.